GAUGAACGCUGACAGAAUGCUUAACACAUGCAAGUCUACUUGAAUUUGGGUUUUUUAACUUCGAUUUGGGUGGCGGACGGGUGAGUAACGCGUAAAGAACUUGCCUCACGGCUAGGGACAACAUUUGGAAACGAAUGCUAAUACCUGAUAUUAUGAUUAUAAGGCAUCUUAGAAUUAUGAAAGCUAUAUGCGCUGUGAGAGAGCUUUGCGUCCCAUUAGCUAGUUGGAGAGGUAACGGCUCACCAAGGCGAUGAUGGGUAGCCGGCCUGAGAGGGUGAACGGCCACAAGGGGACUGAGACACGGCCCUUACUCCUACGGGAGGCAGCAGUGGGGAAUAUUGGACAAUGGACCAAGAGUCUGAUCCAGCAAUUCUGUGUGCACGAUGACGUUUUUCGGAAUGUAAAGUGCUUUCAGUUGGGAAGAAAAAAAUGACGGUACCAACAGAAGAAGUGACGGCUAAAUACGUG
This 468-nucleotide ribosomal RNA is filed under the name uncultured bacterium. RNAcentral describes it as "partial 16S ribosomal RNA". It matches the Rfam family "Bacterial small subunit ribosomal RNA", at positions 28 to 507 of the family's 1533-position model. The record is from RNAcentral.